AACCAAAGUGUUGAGUUCAGUUCAGGGUGUGCCCCUGUUCUGAUAAUUAAGCUUUGGGACAGCAAGUGACUGGGAAGUGCACCAUGGUGACUGAAAGUUUGUUUUAUGCCACUUGUGUUUCUCAGCCUACAAAC
This 134-nucleotide small nucleolar RNA is filed under the name Nipponia nippon (crested ibis). Lineage: Eukaryota; Metazoa; Chordata; Aves; Pelecaniformes; Threskiornithidae. The record is from RNAcentral.